AUUGAACGCUGGCGGCAGGCCUAACACAUGCAAGUCGAGCGGAUGAAGGGAGCUUGCUCCUGGAUUCAGCGGCGGGCGGGUGAGUAAUGCCUAGGAAUCUGCCUGGUAGUGGGGGAUAACGUCCGGAAACGGGCGCUAAUACCGCAUACGUCCUGAGGGAGAAAGUGGGGGAUCUUCGGACCUCACGCUAUCAGAUGAGCCUAGGUCGGAUUAGCUAGUUGGUGGGGUAAAGGCCUACCAAGGCGACGAUCCGUAACUGGUCUGAGAGGAUGAUCAGUCACACUGGAACUGAGAAACGGUCCAGACUCCUACGGGAGGCAGCAGUGGGGAAUAUUGGACAAUGGGCGAAAGCCUGAUCCAGCCAUGCCGCGUGUGUGAAGAAGGUCUUCGGAUUGUAAAGCACUUUAAGUUGGGAGGAAGGGCAGUAAGUUAAUACCUUGCUGUUUUGACGUUACCAACAGAAUAAGCACCGGCUAACUUCGUG
RNAcentral lists this ribosomal RNA (484 nucleotides) under uncultured bacterium. RNAcentral's name for it is "partial 16S ribosomal RNA". It matches the Rfam family "Bacterial small subunit ribosomal RNA", at positions 30 to 507 of the family's 1533-position model. The record is from RNAcentral.